UUUCAGGCAUGCAUGGGACAUUGGUUAUAUUAUUACCACUCAGUUUGAUUCUGAUGAUCUUUGGAGGCAUGACUGGAUUCGUCAGCAUACUUGCAAGAGCCUAUCUGCUGUUGUUUAUGACUGGAUUGCUUUUCCUUUUUGGAGGUAUGGUUACUUACUCUUUAAUAAUAUGAUGAUUCCCUCCAAACACUAAAUAGAUACAAGCAUUUCCUACCCUAAAAGGGGAUGAUUGAAAGGGAAGGACACAUCAUUUAAAAUAAUGCACUUUUGUUUAGAUUAUUUUAACAAUAAACAAGAAAGUGAAAAAGAGUGAAUAUGCCAGCUAUGCCCUAAAUGCAGGUAUCAAUAACCCCACACUUUUUAAUAAAACAAUAAAAAUAAACAAAUGAAACACAAAAUAGCAGGUUGAUCUGAUAAACAGAAUCCCUUCAUCAGGGGUAGUCAACCUUUUGGUAUAGCUGUGCCAAAGUAAAACUAUGAAGUCCUUUAGCGUGCCAGACAAAAAUUUUUUUAAGUGUCUGAGUACUAUGUAUUUGUGUGGGAUGUCUUUGGCAUGUGAGUGUGCAUGCAGCCUUUGUGCAGUGUUGUGUAUAAGUUGUUGAUUGUGGUUUUGUGUGUGGCUGUGGACGGUUUGUGGUUUUGUGUGACUGUGUGUGUGUCUUGAUGGGCUGUUUGUGUGAAUUGUUUGUGGUAUUGUUUUUGUGGACUGCAUGUUGUGUUAUGUAUAUGUCUGCCAAGUUUGUGGUAUUUAUGUGUGUGGAGCUUUCUGCAGUAUUAUGUGUAUGUAGAAUGUUCAUGUACUUGUGUGUAUUUGGAUGUGGAGUGCAUGAUGUGUGAAGCAUGAAGCAUGUGUGUGGGCCGGUUUUCAUAAAUGCAUAUAUGUAAGUUACGUGUAGUAUUUGUGUGUAGUGGGGACUAUCUGUGGUGUUGCUUGUGUAUGUAGGAUGCUGUUGUGUUAUGUAUGUGUGCAGACUGUCUGGUGUGUGCGCUUAUAAUAGUUUUAUGUGUGGUGUGGGCUGCCUCUUCUUACUUGUCUGGCAUUUUGCCUGUGAGUCAAAGAGUUGCCAUGGUAAAUCAUGAAGAUAUUCUAUAUCACAGAAAAGUGUUGUAUCAUGAAGUGAGAUUGUCCUGUGGUGUUUACACCCACUAGAGGUGAAGAGCACAAGUUCCCUUGCACUACAUGUGAUGGGGAACUCUGGGCCAGCUAGGGGGCUCCUUAGAUUUUUCUAUUUGGCCCAUUUUGGUCUUGUUUGUGGGCCAAAGGUUGCCAACCCCAGCCAUACAUUAAAACUAGUGCAAAAUCAAAGGCUGUGAUUGAAAAGCAACUAUGAAAGAAUUGGAGUACAGUUGUAAAGGACACUUUCUAUUCACUUACAUUUAUUUGAAACAAGUGAUCAGUUUCAUUCUAGAUAUGAACCCCCCAGUAUCCCCUCACAUGUUACUCACUUUCUAUAUCCCUUUUCCACCCUGAACGAUAUAGAGCCAAAACCUACUCAAAAUGCAUAUUUUGAAUCCAUUUUACUCGCAUAGACUACAGCAGUCAUAUACAUACAGUUCUAAUGGGCCGUGACACAAAUACUUUAUCAAUGAAAUAUCUAAUGUAUUAAUCUCCACCUAACUACACAAAAAGAAAGUAAAAGGGGAAUAUAUGUCAACAGUAAUGGUGUAGUGCACUUUGGAAGACCUAUGUCUCCAUAUACAAGGCUGAUUUGCUUAUCAUCCAUGUUUAGUACAAUACCUCAGUACAUCAAUCAUAUAUUACAAUCUACUUAACUCUUGUCUGAGUGAAAACUGUUUAUGUAUCACACCAUUGUGUUUAUGUAUCACACCAUUGUCAGAGAUCCAUAGUGAAACAACCCAUUUCACUAAAGGUUUAAAUAGGUGUCCAAUCCUAAAGUUCAGCAGUGCCCCCUAAUAAUUCCAUUACAGAUUUCCCUAAAGAUGGUCUUUAUCUCUAAUACCAUUCAGAAGUAGUGCCAUUCCAUUUUACCUCUGACCCACUCUUCUACAUAAGAGAGACUUUUCUUUUGAACCACUCCUAAUUAUUUAUAGAUUCAAUAUGUGCCUGACAAACAUUUUUUUUUGUUUGUACUGCUUUCCAUUUACAGUUUCCCUUUUAACAAUUUUAGUUAUUUUACAUUUUAUUGUGAAAAUGAUUUGUACACUUACAGGGUUAUUAAUUAAACUACGAAUUGGAAACUGAGAAUUCAUAAUAUAUUAAAAGUGAAUUUCAAAUUUAAGGCCAAAACAAAUUGUAAAGAGAAUUGACUUUUUUCUGUAUUUGUUCAGUGCAGCUAUUUUCUUCAAAUUUUGAAAUCCACUUUGAAUUUACUAUGAAUUCCUGGCAAUUCUAACCUUUUUGAAGACCCCUGUUAUGCAUUGCAAUUCCAAAUUCCUUCAUGUUCUACCCUAGAUUACUGUCAUGAUAGUUUCAACUUUCUUGUAGUUCCAACUAUCUCUUAAAACAAUUUUACAUUAUAUUUUGUAAGAAGUUUGUGGUCAUAUAAAUCAAAACAAAGUGAAUUGUGUUUUUCUAUUAAGGUCAUUCACUAAAGUAAGAAUUCAAGCCAGCAACACUUUUAGGUCAGCUAAUCUGGCCCUGAAAUUUUAAAUUCUCUUUGAAUUCUCACUUUAGUUAAUAACUCUGUGUGUUUUCUUUCAGAGGAUGGUUUACUAUGAGAAACAAAGCUACUGUUAUAGGGUCCUGUUCACUAGAUAGUGAGUUGUGUGUUUGGGAAUUGACCAAAUGAAUCCAAAUAUUAACCCUUUAAGGACUGAGCCAAAUGUACACGUUGUGAACAAAACACAACGUAAACAAAAACAUAUUAUGUGCACCCACACUUAUUAUAUAUUACUUUAUUCAGAGGAAACAGGGUUUUCAUUUAACAUCAAAUAUUUACGUAUUAAAACAUAAAUGUCACAUAAUUUAAUAUGAAUAAAAUAUAAAAAAUGGGUGAAAAUAGGAAUUUGUAAAUAUAUUUUAGUUCUAUGUGACAUUCUAACUGUGAAUAUCAUAAUACUGUUUGCUUUUACUACACUAAAAUACACAUAUUUGUAUUCAGCAAAGUCUCACGUGUAAAACAGUACCCCCUAUGUACAGGUUUAUGGUGUUUUGGGAGGUUACAGGGUCAAAUAUAGCACGUUACAUUUUUCAUUUUUUUCCCAUGAAAUUCGCCAGAUUGGUUAUGUUGCCUUUGAGACCCUAUGGUAGCCCAGGAAUGAGAACUAGCCCCAUGAUGGCAUACCAUUUGCAAAAGUAGACAACCCAAGGUAGUGCAAAUGGGGUAUGCCCAGUCUUUUUUAGUAGCCACUUGGUUACAAACACUUGCCAAAGUUAGUGUUAAUAUUUGUUUGUGUCUGAAAAAUGCAAAAACUAAUUUGAAUGCCAAUUUUGUUUAUGACUAAGUGGCCACUAAAAAAGACUGGACCCCAUUUGCAAUACCUUGAGUUGUCUACUAUUGCAAAUGGUAUGCCAUCAUGGGGGUAAUUUUCAUUCCUGGGCUAAUAUACGGUCUCAAAGGCAAUCUGGCGAAUUUCAAUGUGAAAAAACUGAAACGCAAGCCCUAUAUUUGACUCUGUAACAUUUGAAAACACCAUAAAACCUGUACAUGAUGGGUACUGUUAUCCUCGAGAGACUUCGCUGAACACAAAUAUUAGUGUUUCAAUACAGUAAAACGUAUCACAGCAAUUAUAUGUCCAUGUAAGUGCCAUUCGUAUGUGAAAAAUGCAAAAAUGCAAAAAUGUCACUUUCACUGACGAUAUCGUUUUAAUACAUUUUACUGUUUUGAAACACUAAUUUUUGUGUUCAGUGAAGUCUUCCAAGUAAAAUAGUAGCCCCCAUUUACAGGUUUUAUGGUGUCUUGGAAAGUUACAGGGAUUAAAUAUAGUGCUAGCAAAUCAAAUUCCCUGGACUUUUGUUGUCAGACAGGUCCCACAAAUUGUAAUUAAUAAAAUGACCUAAUUAUGUAAAAUUAUUACAUAAAUAUAUACAUAGAAUUAUUAUAUAUAUAUAAACGUGUGUAUAUAUAUAUAUUUAUAUAUAUAUAUAUAUAUAUAUGUGUAUAUAAUUUUUUAAAAAUAUUUUUAUUUAUAUAUAGGUAUAUAUGUAUAUAGUGAUAUAUACGUAUAUACUUAUGUAUAUAUAUAUAUAUAUAUAUAUAUAUUAUUUCGUUCUACAUGUAUUUUGAUAUCAAUAUAUAUAUAUAUAUAUAUUAAUUUUAAAAUACAGUUAGAACGAAUUUACAUAUAUAUAUUUAUUGUUAUUUUUUAACGUAUUUACAUAUUUAUUUUAUAUAUAAUGAUAAUUAUAUAUUUAAUCAAUAUCAUUCUACGUGUAUACUUCGAUAUUAAUAUAUAUAUAUAUAAUUAUAUAUAUAUAUAAAUAUUAAAAUAUACUUAGACAGUGUAUGUGUAUUUAUGUGUAUGUAUGUGUGUGUGUGUGUCUAUAUAUGUGUGUGUGUGUAUAAAUAUAUAUAUAUGAUAUAUAUAUAUAUAUAUAUAUAUAUAUAUACUUAGAUCAUAUAUAUAUAUAUAAUAAAUAUAUAUAUGAUCUAAGUAUAUAUAAUUUAAUUUUACACUGUUUUAACAUUUAUUAUUUUUUUCAGACAGCAGGGGGAGUACCUGUCAUUACAGGCACUCCCCCUGCUGGCACUCACAUGGACGCCUAUGCCGUACAUGCUGGUGUUAAAGCAGAGUAGGCACCUGCCUUCCCUAUAUUGCAGGUGCCUACUCUGCUAACACUUACCCGGUCGGAAAGGAGAGCCAGCAAGGGAGCUCAGUGUUCCUGUUCCUGCUCCUCACUGCUCCCUCGAGCGCGCCGUCUGUAGUGAAGCUGGGUGCCGUGAUAUGAUGUCAUAUUCCAGCACCCGGCAUCACUAAACCACGCACGGGAGCAGUGAGGAGCAGAUAGAAGGACCCCGGGGAGAUGACCCACAUCAGCUCCAAAAGGUAGGGAGCAAUAAAGAAAAGUAUGUGUGUGCAAGAAUGUGUAAGUGUGUGAGUGUGUGUGUCUGUCAGUGAGUGUGUGUGUGUAUGUUUGUGUUUCUGUCAGUAAGUAUGUGUGUGUCUGUCAGUGAGUGAGUGUGUGUGUGUCUGUCAGUGUGUCUAUAUGUCUGUAUGUGUUAUAUAUAGGAGUCUAGCCUGCUCCCUGGUUCUGCACCCCUCCCUGUCACAGGUGCCUCAUCUCAGGAUUCUAUUUGGCCUUGUACUGCAGAGAACCCAAGAGAAUGUUCCCAAGUGAGUAGCUCAUUUAGCAAACAUUAGGCAGUUAGAGUAGGACCUGCCGAACAUGGGGUACAUUGACGUUGUGGCAGGCUUAUGCAAUGUAUGAUCAUAUAAUGUAACUAAAUCCCCAUUGUUUUUAAUAAAACUUACAAAAUCUGUCAGCACAAAAGUAGCUGUUUAGUAGAUAGGGAGUGUGCUGGUUUCUCAUUUUUUACUGUAUGUAUUUGCCCCCCCUCCCCACCCCCCAGCAGCACUCCAUUUAAGCAUGUUACGUUGAGUGCAAUGAAACCCUUGUUCUUUCAUUUGUAUUUGUGUGUCUGUCUGUAAGUAUGUGUGCAUGUCUGUGUGUGUGUCUGUCUGUGAGUGUGUGUGCGUCUGUCAGUGGGUAUGUGUGUGUUUGUAUGUGUGUAUGUCAGUGAGAAUGUGUGUGUGUCUGUCAGUAUGUGUGUGUCUGUCAGUGUGUGUGUGUGUCAGUGUGUCUAUAUGUGUGUGUCUGUCUGUGAGUAUGUGUGUGUGUCAGCGGGAGGAUCAGAUUUGGCACAGGGUGGUGUAGGGGGGGACUGGGAUUUAGUAGAGGGGGUGCUGUGGUUUAGUAGAGGGUAAUGCUGGUUUUUUUAUACUGUACUUUUUAAAAUUAACCUAUGUUUCUAUGAAAAUUUAAGGCCCACCUAAACUUAAACCGUGUUUAUGUGGCCCAUGCCAGACUUUGAGUUUGACAUGCUUGACCUACACCUUAAAAUCCAUAAUACAAAUACACAAUAGGUGGAGCUGUUAGAAUACUUCCCUCUUUUCUUAAUGUAACAGUGUAUGCUGAAAUACAAACUGAGGGAUACACUGUUACGAUUAUCUCCAGGCUAGCUGAAAGUUGGACCGUAGAAAGGAUGCUCCUAGUGCUCACCAAAGGACCAUCAGCACCGUAGACACCAUAAGUACCGCAGACUCCACGAACCGCCACUGCUAGGUUGGUAUCUCACAGUCUGCUAUCCACCCUGGACCUAAGAUCAGGUUCCAGUGGGUGAACCUCUUCCUUCUGUAGAGCAAAGCAGGAUCAGGAACAAGAGCUCUUACAAGAGCUCAGUAGCUAAGGGAGUAUGAAGAGCAUAACAAUCCCUGUAGUGAUUAUAGCUGUCCCCUACAAACACAAGUCGAGGCUGCGAGUUAGAGGGUCAAGUAGUUCUCCUUUUAAUGGAAGCAAGCACUCACAAUGUAUACAGGCACACCCCCUGGACCUGAUGGAACACAGGCACACAAAGGACACAAACCAAUCAAAACAAUAUAACAAUGUCUGACACUCCCAGUCAUUACAGCAAAAUCCUCCCCUCUGCCUGUGAGAUAAUGACUGAACACAAUGGGCUAACGUAAUUAUCACAGGCAGGAAAAUACACAGUUUUGCACAAUAUUCAUAACUUUAAAAGUAUACAUUACAUUCACAUAAAAUUUACAUAUUUUGAACCAGCAUACGCAGUAUACAAACAUAUGUCAAAAUCAUACAAAUUGGUCCAGUGGUUCAAAAGUUAUAUGGAAGUCCUUUGUGACUGACUGCAAGCAUGGCUUUCUAGCCCAAACCAGUUCCACAGAGUUAGGCUGUGCAGCUGGUCUAUCUUCUCCUCUAUCCUGGAGAUAAUUGGCUUAACUGGGUGUGGUAAGCCAACUAUCUCCAGGUACAGAAAAUAUCUCUAUUUACAACAGCAAAAAUACACAAAAAUACAUAACACCUAUCAUUCUGAACAGAACCCCUACAUUCAACCUACCCCCAGAUAGCUUGGAUUUGAACGCUCAAUAUAUCCGAACAGUGCUCAGAUCCCACAAACACAGUAAAAUCGCCAUACAUACUAGGUCCAUAGUCAUGGGGCAGAAGGCUGGCAAUUAGGCUUAAGGUAGGGAGCACCCCCCCCCUAAGUAAAUUCCCCCCCAAGGUGACUAGGGGUCCCCAAUCCCCUAGUCACCCACCCCCCCCAAAUAAAAUGUCCCUACCCAUAAUACAGGGAAGCAGGGCAAUUUGUCGCAUAAAAUAAAAGUUACAAAAGGCCUUUUGUAACAUACACAAUAGUGCAGAUUAAACCUUCUAUGACAUAAAGUGUCUAAUUCUUAAUAAAAGCACACUCACAAAGAUAGAGCCAUAUAGUAACCUGGCUUUAAUGUGUAACUCAUUAGGAUCCUUGGGGAGAUCCAAACCCCACUUCAAAUUGGAGGAAGGUGAUCAAGAUGAUGCCUUCCCAAAUGAUGAAGUAGCAGGUCCAGGUAAAAAAAUAACAAAUUUAUUGAGUAUAAUAAAAUAAAAAAGAAAAAGCAAAAGUAAUAGCCCAAAAUUCACCAAAACGCGUUUCGCUGGAUUGUGGCUUCAGGCUGUGCAGUCGGUCUCUUUUGGGAGUAUAAACUGCAUGAAAAACCCAUCCAAAACUGUUCAUGCAUACCUUCGUUAGGUGUAUCUUGUUCGGGAGUUUGCUCUCCCUGAACGCCACUCGGUUUGCCGAAAUCCCUACAAAUAUAAUGGAAGGUGGAAGUCCCAGCAGUGUUCACGCCACUGAGUGUCCGAUUUUAGUUCCAUACACUUGACGACCAAACACUGCUGUCUCUGUUCGUAUUCCAAGAUGGCCGCCGCCACGUGUUCACACAUACGAACGGCGACCACCCAGCUGACCGCUUGGAACAUUCAUGUAAUUGUGGUUUGUAGAGGUGUGAACAGGGGUUAUUGGGGUUAACAAGCCGCACACUCCCCAAAUGGGUGGUCUGGCAUUCGGUAAUUUGUUCGUUUGUUGAACACGAUGGUGUUAAUAGGCGAGAUGGCUGUUAUUUUCCCGAAUGGCCAGACAAACAGGGGACAUAACAAGAUGAUCCAGGGACUAUGAGCACGAAACAUAGGAAAUAACAGGGGAGACAAGAUACGGACAGCCCAUAGCAGAAAUAAGGGUGAGCGUCCAAGGUUCAUUCCGCUACAUGAAGUAUUCUAACAGCUCCACCUAUUGUGUAUUUGUAAAAAACAUAACAUAGCUUAGCAACACUGCAACCAUUCAGGAUGCAGUACAGUCCAUAAAGGUGUGGUACUCAUUGACUCCUCCUCUUUCUUGCGUAGCCACCCAAAGACCUAUAACACUGGAACCAAAUAAAACCAACAGAACAGGAACCCUUGAAACGAAAACUCC
Molecule: long non-coding RNA, 8366 nt
Filed under: Pelobates cultripes (western spadefoot toad)
Lineage: Eukaryota; Metazoa; Chordata; Amphibia; Anura; Pelobatidae
Source: RNAcentral